UAGAACAAGAGGUCUCUGGUCUUGGAGCC
RNAcentral lists this non-coding RNA (29 nucleotides) under Mus musculus (house mouse). Lineage: Eukaryota; Metazoa; Chordata; Mammalia; Rodentia; Muridae. The record is from RNAcentral.